CCUACGGGCGGCAGCAGUGGGGAAUAUUGCACAAUGGGGGAAACCCUGAUGCAGCGACGCCGCGUGAGUGAAGAAGUAAUUCGUUAUGUAAAGCUCUAUCAGCAGGGAAGAAAAUGACGGUACCUGAGUAAGAAGCCACGGCUAACUACGUGCCAGCAGCCGCGGUAAGACGUAGGGGGCAAGCGAUAUCCGGAUUUACUGGGUGUAAAGGGAGCGUAGACGGAAGUGCAAGUCUGGAGUGAAAGGCGGGGGCUCAACCCCCGGACUGCUCUGGAAACUGUACGGCUGGAGUGCAGGAGAGGUAAGUGGAAUUCCUAGUGUAGCGGUGAAAUGCGUAGAUAUUAGGAGGAACACCAGUGGCGAAGGCGGCUUACUGGACUGUAACUGACGUUGAGGCUCGAAAGCGUGGGGAGCAAACAGGAUUAGAUACCCCUGUAGUC
This 440-nucleotide ribosomal RNA is filed under the name uncultured bacterium. RNAcentral's name for it is "partial 16S ribosomal RNA". It matches the Rfam family "Bacterial small subunit ribosomal RNA", at positions 338 to 795 of the family's 1533-position model. The record is from RNAcentral.